AGUGAACGCUGGCGGUAGGCCUAACGCAUGCAAGUCGAACGGCAGCACAGUAAGAGCAUGCUCUUACGGGUGGCGAGUGGCGGACGGGUGAGGAAUACAUCGGAAUCUACUUUUUCGUGGGGGAUAACGUAGGGAAACUUACGCUAAUACCGCAUACGACCUACGGGUGAAAGCAGGGGAUCUUCGGACCUUGCGCGAUUGAAUGAGCCGAUGUCGGAUUAGCUAGUUGGCGGGGUAAAGGCCCACCAAGGCGACGAUCCGUAGCUGGUCUGAGAGGAUGAUCAGCCACACUGGAACUGAGACGCGGUCCAGACUCCUACGGGAGGCAGCAGUGGGGAAUAUUGGACAAUGGGCGCAAGCCUGAUCCAGCCAUACCGCGUGGGUGAAGAAGGCCUUCGGGUUGUAAAGCCCUUUUGUUGGGAAAGAAAAGCAGCAGGUUAAUACCCCGCUGUUCUGACGGUACCCAAAGAAUAAGCACCGGCUAACUUCGUG
RNAcentral lists this ribosomal RNA (492 nucleotides) under uncultured bacterium. RNAcentral describes it as "partial 16S ribosomal RNA". It matches the Rfam family "Bacterial small subunit ribosomal RNA", at positions 29 to 507 of the family's 1533-position model. The record is from RNAcentral.